Molecule: ribosomal RNA, 429 nt
Filed under: Chloroflexota bacterium
Lineage: Bacteria; Bacillati; Chloroflexota
Description: Chloroflexi bacterium partial 16S ribosomal RNA
Rfam family: Bacterial small subunit ribosomal RNA
Source: RNAcentral
UGGGGAAUAUUGCACAAUGGACGCAAGCCUGAUGCAGCCAUGCCGCGUGUAUGAAGAAGGCCUUCGGGUUGUAAAGUACUUUCAGCGGGGAGGAAGGGAGUAAAGUUAAUACCUUUGCUCAUUGACGUUACCCGCAGAAGAAGCACCGGCUAACUCCGUGCCAGCAGCCGCGGUAAUACGGAGGGUGCAAGCGUUAAUCGGAAUUACUGGGCGUAAAGCGCACGCAGGCGGUUUGUUAAGUCAGAUGUGAAAUCCCCGGGCUCAACCUGGGAACUGCAUCUGAUACUGGCAAGCUUGAGUCUCGUAGAGGGGGGUAGAAUUCCAGGUGUAGCGGUGAAAUGCGUAGAGAUCUGGAGGAAUACCGGUGGCGAAGGCGGCCCCCUGGACGAAGACUGACGCUCAGGUGCGAAAGCGUGGGGAGCAAACAGG